This 392-nucleotide long non-coding RNA is filed under the name Mus musculus (house mouse). RNAcentral's name for it is "long non-coding RNA chr10:94676062-94676454". The record is from RNAcentral. Lineage: Eukaryota; Metazoa; Chordata; Mammalia; Rodentia; Muridae.
CCGGCUAAGAUAACAAAAAAGGGAAAGCAGGACUGAAAUAACUAGGAAGGAGUCAAGAAAUACAGAUACAAAAGCCUGUGAUGUAACAAAUGCCAGGAAAGGAUACUUAGAAAGAAGAUAAAGUAGAUGAAUAAGAAAGCCCCAGAUAAAAAUCCCCUGGAUACAUUGUUUCCACAGGGUGUAGUAGAUGAUUCAGUUAGUAAAGUGCUCAUCUAAUAUGGCUGAUAACCCCAGGCCUGAGAGGGCAGACAUGUAGAUCUUGGAAACUUGCUGGCUAGCCAGCCUGUCUGAACUGAUGAAUCACAGGUUCAGUGAGAGACCUUCGGUGAAAACCUAAGGAGGAAGAGUGAUGGAGGAAAACACCCAAAGUCAACCUCUGUCCUCUACACCUA